This is a long non-coding RNA of Herpailurus yagouaroundi (jaguarundi), 1174 nucleotides long. RefSeq lists it as uncharacterized. The record is from RefSeq and is a predicted model, not a curated record. Lineage: Eukaryota; Metazoa; Chordata; Mammalia; Carnivora; Felidae. The transcript is spliced from 3 exons.
CCUUUUAAAAAGUAGUAUAUAGAGGCUAGAAUCCUUAGGAUCCCAUUUGGGCCAAUUUGUAUUGAGAUCUUAUAAAAACUCAGUUGAUAUAUAUUAUGAUUCAUUUGUCACUAAGAUAGUGCCUGCCUAAAUGUAUUUAAGCUGCUUAAAUUGCUCCCUAUGAGACCGCGUUGACUGUCCUAACAAGUUGUUUUGUUUUGUUUUAAUUCAGAAACGCAUGAUACGGUCUUCUGAGAAGGUUGCAUUUCAACUUGAUUUAUUUCUAGUGCAAGAAUGCAAGUUCCUGGAUUCUGUUUGUACUACAUGCUUCCUUGCCUUCACCUCUAGUUCAGUAUCACCACCCCUCUUGGAAGUAUAUGAGGGGGAAUGCCAUUUUACACCCAAGGACAGUGAGGGUUAGCUUGUGCAAGAUCACUCAGUGAGAAGCAAGUGCAAGAUAAAAGCCUUCACUCCUUAAAGAGUAGUACUUUUCUCAUCAGCACAGAACCAAAAGAGGCCACGCGUAUGAGACUCCAAACAUUCUUAUUUUGAAGGUGAUUACUCGAAAUGUAAGACCUGAGCUAUGGAGGCUGUUUAUAUCGGUAACCCAACCAAUGGCCGCCUGCUUUAAAUUUGCUCAAAAUCCCCAAGGCAAGUCCUGAGCCCUGUCUCCUAUGUUUUAUGCAGAGACACCUCAAAGUAUAUUUUGCCAGACUACAAGAAUAGUGAGGCCUGCCAGAUCAGAUUUUCCCAGUUACCAGAAGCUUCUCACCUCACCUCUACUUCAGCCUCUCUGAGUCAUAACCAGUCACCCUAAAACCUAGCUUCUCUGCACUUUCUGAAUAUGGAAAUGACAGUCCUGACUUAUGACACCAGGACCUGUUAAAAAGAUUGAUUUUGUAAGAAAAAUUGCAUAACUAAAGGCACCAUGGAAAGGACCGCUGAGGAGAAAAACUAGGGGACUUGUGAUAACUUCCAAAGAACAAAGCCCUCACAGGCGAGGGUGAGGGCCUUAGCACAGUCUUUUCACAGAGAUGAAGAAUCGGAAGUCUAACCAGUGGCUCACCUCAGGAGGUGAUUUUAAUUGUCAUUUUCCAUAUGUUUUGUGGAGAAUUAAAAUGAUGAAAGGUAUUUCAGACGGCAGUAAUCAUGGCCACGUAACUUGGUGUUCUGCAGCUCUGGCAACUGACAAACC